Molecule: long non-coding RNA, 5001 nt
Organism: Manis javanica (Malayan pangolin)
Lineage: Eukaryota; Metazoa; Chordata; Mammalia; Pholidota; Manidae
Source: RefSeq, a predicted model, not a curated record
CAUAGUGGCUGCACCGAUUUGCAACUGAGAAGCAGUGCAGGAGACUCCCUUUCCUCCGCAUCCUUGCCAGCACUUGUUAUUUCUCAUCUUUUGGAUGGUGGCCAUUCUGACUGGUGUGAGGUGAUAUCUCACUGUGGUUUUCAUUUGUAUUUCCCUGAUAAUUAGUUAUGUGGAGUGUCUUUUCAUAUGUCUGCUGGCUAUCUGUAUCUCUUCUUUGGAAAAAUGUCUAUUGAGAUCCUUUCCCAUUUUUAAGUCAGAUUCUUUAUUUUUUGAUGUUGAGGUGUAUGAGUACAUUAUAUACUUUGGAUAUUAUCCCCUUAACAUCAUUUGGAAAUAUAUCCUCCCACUCUUUAGGUUGCUUUUUAAUUCUGCCAUCCUUUGCUGUGCGAAAGCUUUUCAGUUUGAUGUACUCCUGCUUUUAUUUUUGUGUUUGUUUCCCUUGCCUGGGGAAACAUAUCCAGGAAGAGUCACUAAUGCUGACGCUCAAGUUUACUGCCUGUGUUUUCUUCUAGGAGUUUUAUGGUUUCAUCCUGCAGAGCUUUAAACACAGUUUUCUGGGCUCUAUCCCCAGGGAUUCUGAGUCACAGAGGGGCUCAUGAAUUUGCAUUUCUAACAAGCUCACAGGUAGAACUGAUGCUUUUGGCCAGUUUUGAGAACAAGUGUUUUAAAUCAAACCGUGUCUGGAGGGAAGACCUCCCUGAUACCUGCUUGGUUUUCUUCCAAACCUCUAUUAAGCCCAUUUUUAACUUUUCCUUCUUAUCAGCUCAUUUUAGUCACUGAGGGCCCUCUACACCAAAUGGCUCACAAAAGGCUGCUGGUAGAAGGGCUGUAAUGACUGACAUUCAUGUUGGCAUUUUUCUUUUAUCCUUUUACUUCACAUAUUGUGGAACCUAUUUUUUAGUUCACUCUCUAAAGAGACGUACAUAUUUAUCAGAUUAAAUCAGCAGCUGAAAUAGAUUUAAAUUCAUUCAGUGUUCCUGCCUGUUUCUUCAACACAUUUUUAGUGAAUCUAACAAUGUGGAGUAGGAUAAAAUGAAGAAAUUUUCCCCAAGUAGCUUCUGGCUCUGAUGCGCACUGUUGACUGCAUUUGUGGAUUGAGUUUGAAUUUAAUAAAACAGAUAUAAAUAAGUUUCCCAAAGUGCUUUUAUUUCUCCUCUCAAUUUGAAUUGUUAGAGUACAUAUAAGAUGGAGAAAAAAAUAGCAUAAAAGGAACCUUAUGGAAUGGAGGCAUGUAUUACUAAAAAAAUCUCAUAUUACUUUAUUGGUUGUAUUCACAGCUAUGGAGAAUUUUAGCCAAGAACUCAUCAGCAGUGAAAGACAGGAAACAGCUAUGAAGCAUGCUGAGAUCCAUCUUGGUUGCCUCCAAGUUUUGGCACUUAUAAAUAAAGCUGCUAUAAACAUCCAUGCACAGGUUUUUGGGUGGACAUGAUUUCAACACCUUUGCAUAAAUACCAUGGAGUGCUGUAGCUGAACAUAUGGCAUACCCUAGCUAAUUCACCAUGUGAAGAUGGAACCAGAGAUUGGAGUGAUGUGUCUACAGGGGAAAAAAAUGCCCAAAAUUGUUGGCAGCCACCAGAAGUUAGGUGAGAGGCAUUUAACCAGGUCUUCCCUAGGGCCUCCGAACCUCCAGAAGGAACCAGACUGGCCUACACCUGGAUCUCAGACUUCCAGUCUCCAGCGCUGUGAGAGAAUACAUUUCUGUCAUUUAAGUCCCCCAGUUUGUGAUAAUUCAUUACACAGCUCUAGGAAACUAACACAGUACCUUUGUCCAGUGAACUGCUGUUAAUAUAGUUUGAUCAUUGGAACCCACAUGUGAAAAACAUGGGAAGUCCAAGGCCUUUUUGCCCUGAACUGUUUGAUAUUUCUACCUCCCAGGUGUCGGGACACAAAACAUCUAGAGAAGUGUCACAUAUGCCUCAUUAGGAGGUGUUAGGGACACCUGCCAUAAGAGACCUUCCCGCACACGGAGUCUGAAGUCCUCCUGCCUUACGGGCUGCUGACGAAGAGAACCCAGCAGUGCCUGGGUAAAGCCCGUCCCGCCCCGUGGAUGGGGCUGGAGUUGUGGAAUGUGGUGGUGGUGGUGGUGGUAAUGGGGUCUCUUCCACUGGAACAGCGAACUAUAUUCCAGGUGGAGAGGCCCUACUCAGUUCGGUGAUUCUAUUUAACCCACCUCAUCCAACCUGCACUCCGACCUCAGCAACGCCUGCCAGCCUUGCCAGAAGCAGACGCAUGCCUCCCCUGCAACACUUACACUGCAUGGAGACAGGCCCAGAAGUCCCAAGUGGAUGCAGAUCCCACUCCCCAUUUGGGGGACAUACUGGAAAGAUAGUCCUUCUGGGGAAACAACUGCAGAAUAUGGAACAUGGAAAAAGCAACGUGGGGAUUAGCUCCACACAGUGCCCUGAUGAUCUUGCAGGUCUCCACACAGGCCAGGUAGGGAAAGGCUUAGCCACAGAGGCCCAGGUCUUUGUAGAACGGCCUGUGAUGACUGGGGCGCAGGGAUCAGCUGCCCCGCGUGCUCUGUCAGGACGGCUUGCUUACCCCACCCGUCUCACAGAGGCUGCCACUGCAUCAGUAAAGCACGGGUCAUCAACUUUAUGUCCCUUUGGGACAGCUGCAGGCUAUACAGCCACAGGGCUGUAGUGGGUCAGCUCCUCGGAAGCUGAGGACCCUCUACCCAGGCUGCUUGUCACUCGCAACCCCGGGCGCAGCCUCCCCCGUGGAACCGAGCAGUGGAGCUGGGCUCAGGCUGUUCUGCUUUUGCUGUAAGCGACAAACCACUCGAACCCACUCAGGCGUGGUGUCUCCUGCAGACGGACCUCGGGGGUCCAGCAGGCCUACCGAAAGGGGGCUGUGGCGGCGCUCACUGGCUCCUGACGGCGCGGCAGUGACGCACCAGACUCCGAGCGGGAGGCCUGGGAACCGCGCCGACGGCCGCCACCCGGCCCGAGCUCUGCCCUCUCCUGCGCCGCGCUCGGGGGCUCUGGCAUCUGCUCCUCAGCGCCGCUGUGAGAACAGCAUGAGGUACUAGAUUCCCUGGGCUGAGGAUAAAAUCAGAAAAUCAAAGUCCCGUACUGGAGGUGGGGAGUGAAAUAAUGUGAGACUGUUUUGUGCCUAAAAUGUCUUAUAAAAGGCUGUAAGAUUUAAAGCGAGCCAUGAUGGCCUCAUGGUGAUCGCACCUGCUGGGUGCUUACAUCGUCUUUAUGUUUUUUGCUAUGAAGUGAAAGACACAGUUUUUGCUCUAAUUUGCAUUUUGGUUAUUACUCAGGAUUAUAUUUUCUCUUGUUUACUAUUUGCAAACCUCUGUAUAGUUUUGAAUGAGAGAUAGUCUAAUUUUUUUUCAGAUAUCUAAUGGGAUGUUAAUAUAAAGAUCAGUUGAAAUGCAAAAUUAAAUCGAAAAAUAUGAUUAUUUCCCAAUAGUAAUAUUUAAAAAUUUAUUUUCUAGUUGUUGCUUUUUAAGUUGUUUUUUCUUCCUUCUGCAGGUGGUAAAUAUUUUAUAUUCAGAUGUUUGUUUCUCCCUUUGUGAUUUUGUUAUACUGCUUCAAAGUUGAGAUUGCUCUCUUGAUAUGGAUCUGAGAAAUAUUCUAUUAUUUGUAGAUUUUCUUUUUAGAUUUUUAAAGUUUUAUUUUUUUGUUUGGUCUGUAAGUUAUUUUGUUUGAAUUUACCUUAAAUAUUCUUACACAAUUGCUAGGCAUUAAAAAUACUAUCUUAUUAAAUGAUAUUUCAAUGUAUACUUGUUCUCCACAUUCUAUUGGUCAAAUCAUACAUCUUAAUAUGCACUUACACUGUUUAUGAUCUCUACUUGUUUUCCUUUGUUGCUAGAGAUCCAACAUUUCCCUAUCGCUUGUAUACUAUAUUCAUUAGAUCUAUGCUUUUAUUGUCAAAUAACCAAUUUUUAAAAAUUACGUGCAUUGCUUUUAUCCCAGAUAUAAAUAGAACAGAUUUCCAUUUCUAGGACACAGAAAAAAAACAGGGACAUUAAAUAAGAAGAACUCACUCAUAAUCUGGAACAUAAUCCUCAAUUAACAUUUGUUAUACUUAAUCUCAGUUUUUAUCAUGUGUAAUUUUUAGUUUGUGAAGUCCCAUCAUUUACAGAAUUGGGGUAAUACUUAUAUCUACUUACACAGUUCUGAAGAUUAAACAAAAUUAAAUGUGUGAAGCAAUGAGCAUAGUGUUCAACAUACAGUAUUUAAUGGUUAUUAUUUUUUAUUUACUUGGUUACACAAUUUUGUAUUUUUUUCACAUGACACUAUAUUUUUUACCCAUUCAUAUAUAAAUAUUUUAAUGAAAAAAUUUAAAUAUAAUUUAGCUAGGUGUAUAAUGUAUCUGUUGUAUGAGUAUGUUUGGGUGCAUGUGACCCAGCCUACCAUUGUUUUUUGUCUAGUAGUUUGUGCUGUGAGAAAGCUUUAUCUGCUUUGGAAUUGGUUUCUUAGUAUAGAAUCUAGAACUGAAAUUGUUCAAUCAGUGAUUAGAAAUAAUGAUUAAAGGUGUACAUAUGUAUAUGUGGAUGUGUACAUAUACAUACACACACACAAAUUAAUGCAAAUAUAAACUUUCAAAAGGCCUCAUUCCAAUUUAUAGUCCAAAUAUUUUUGUUACUGUUUCAUUUCCAUUUGUCCGUACAUUGUCUUAUUCUUAAUUAGACUAAUUAUAUACUGUUUUCCUCCUUGCUACUGAGAUUGGGUGUUUUCCCAUGUGUUUGUUUACUGAAUCAUAUUCUUAUAAAAAAUGAAUCACUAGUUUAUGUCCUUUGCCUGUUUAUCUAAUUUCAUCCCUUCAUGGUUUCUAAAUAGAGCUAAAUUCUUCUGUCACCAAGGGUCAAAUAAUGUUCUAUUCAAUUUCCUUUUGCAGUUUUCUAUGUUACCCUUAUAUUUUUUUCAUUAUGAAAGUGCUUUUGGAGAAAUUGGGUAAUCACUGAUAUGUGAAAAGAUGCAAAAAUAAAAAUAACAAUUCCUCCCACUAAUAAUAAUAAACAUGCUGGUAUUUUUUCCAAAAAACUUU